Molecule: ribosomal RNA, 870 nt
Filed under: Coniella vitis
Lineage: Eukaryota; Fungi; Ascomycota; Sordariomycetes; Diaporthales; Schizoparmaceae
Description: partial large subunit ribosomal RNA
Rfam family: Eukaryotic large subunit ribosomal RNA
Source: RNAcentral
CAACAGGGAUUGCCCUAGUAACGGCGAGUGAAGCGGCAACAGCUCAAAUUUGAAAUCUGGCUUCGGCCCGAGUUGUAAUUUGCAGAGGAUGUUUCUGGCGCGGUGCCUUCCGAGUUCCCUGGAACGGGACGCCAUAGAGGGUGAGAGCCCCGUAUGGUUGGAUACCAAGCCUGUGUGAAACUCCUUCGACGAGUCGAGUAGUUUGGGAAUGCUGCUCAAAAUGGGAGGUAAAUCUCUUCUAAAGCUAAAUAUUGGCCAGAGACCGAUAGCGCACAAGUAGAGUGAUCGAAAGAUGAAAAGCACCUUGAAAAGGGGGUUAAACAGUACGUGAAAUUGUUGAAAGGGAAGCGCUCAUGACCAGACUUGUGCUGGGCAGCUCAUCCGGGGUUCUCCCCGGUGCAUUCUGCCCAGUUCAGGCCAGCAUCGAUUUUUGCUGGGGGAUAAGAACGGUAGGAACGUGGCCCUCCUUCGGGAGGGUGUUAUAGCCUACCGUACGAUACCCUAGCGGAGAUCGAGGUUCGCGCAUCUGCAAGGAUGCUGGCGUAAUGGUCAUCAGCGACCCGUCUUGAAACACGGACCAAGGAGUCGUCCAUUAGAGCGAGCGUUUGGGUGUAAAACCCGCACGCGUAAUGAAAGUGAAAUUAGGUGAGAGCUUCGGCGCAUCAUCGACCGAUCCUGAUGUUCUCGGAUGGAUUUGAGUAAGAGUUUUAACGGACGGACCCGAAAGACAGUGAACUAUGCUUGUAUAGGGUGAAGCCAGAGGAAACUCUGGUGGAGGCUCGCAGCGGGUUCUGACGUGCAAAUCGAUCGUCAAAUAUGAGCAUGGGGGCGAAAGACUAAUCGAACUGUCUAGUAGCUGGUUACCGCCGA